Molecule: long non-coding RNA, 279 nt
Filed under: Homo sapiens (human)
Lineage: Eukaryota; Metazoa; Chordata; Mammalia; Primates; Hominidae
Description: non-protein coding lnc-DDX52-1:1
Source: RNAcentral
GAGAAGCAUUAGUAUAGGAGGCCUCUGCUCUUAGCGGUCUUAGGAAGAGACCCUUGCUUCCACGAGAGGCAAGAGCUCACCAUCCAGCUGCCUUUUCAAGUACACUAAGCACUCUAUAAAUGCCACUGUCACAGAAAGAGGAGCCCAGCUUCAGGAUUCAGGUCAGCAAGUUAAGACUACUUCAAGGUCCCCAGCAAUUCACUUCUUUCUUCUGAAGUGGCCAGGAAAGCCGGCUCCCGGGUUUUCCUGCAGGAAGUGUGCCUCAGCAUGAAAACUGCA